AGCGAACGCUGGCGGCAGGCCUAACACAUGCAAGUCGAACGGUCCUUCGGGACAGUGGCGGACGGGUGAGUAACGCGUGGGAACGUGCCCUUAGGUUCGGAACAACUCAGGGAAACUUGAGCUAAUACCGAAUGUGCCCUACGGGGGAAAGAUUUACCGCCUUUGGAGCGGCCCGCGUCUGAUUAGCUAGUUGGUGAGGUAAAGGCUCACCAAGGCUACGAUCAGUAGCUGGUCUGAGAGGAUGAUCAGCCACACUGGGACUGAGACACGGCCCAGACUCCUACGGGAGGCAGCAGUGGGGAAUCUUGCGCAAUGGGCGAAAGCCUGACGCAGCCAUGCCGCGUGAAUGAUGAAGGUCUUAGGAUUGUAAAAUUCUUUCACCGGGGACGAUAAUGACGGUACCCGGAGAAGAAGCCCCGGCUAACUUCGUGCCAGCAGCCGCGGUAAUACGAAGGGGGCUAGCGUUGCUCGGAAUUACUGGGCGUAAAGGGCGCGUAGGCGGACAGUUCU
Molecule: ribosomal RNA, 510 nt
Filed under: uncultured bacterium
Lineage: Bacteria
Description: bacterial SSU rRNA
Rfam family: Bacterial small subunit ribosomal RNA
Source: RNAcentral